GUAUAAUUAUAAAGUGAAUCUUCUUCUAAUUAAUGUUGAUCAAUAUACAGGUCAUGCUAGUUUUCUCUGAUUCACAUAUUAGUAAAUAAGCUCUGAUAUUUUAAGGAUUUUUUUGUCUUCAUUAUAAUUUAUGGCAUUUAUAAACAAGAUUUUUUUAAUUAUAUAUACAUUUUUCGACAAUAUAAAUAGCGACAAAAAUAAAAUAUUUUAUUUUGUAGUGAAUACUAGAAGCAUCACCAGCACAAUGAAAUUGUUUGUCGUCUUAUGUUUCGUGGCUGUUGCCUGCGCAGCUCCACCUUAUGAAGGCGCUGAGGUCCUUCGCUACGAAAACGAUAACAUUGGAACUGGAACAUACAGAUUUGCUGUUGAACAAUCUGACGGCACACAACAGGAAGCAGUCGGUGAGCUAAAGAAUGGUGAAGUUGCGGUAGUCAAGGGAUCAUACUCAUGGAACGCUCCCGAUGGUUUAAGAUAUGUCGUUACAUACGAAGCUGAUGAACUAGGAUACCGCUCAACCAUCGACAAACAAGGCGUAGCCAAUACUAAAUACACUUCCGUUGUCUAAUUUCCGUACUGAUCCGUUGAUAUUAUGUUAAC
Long non-coding RNA from Vanessa tameamea, 597 nucleotides. RefSeq lists it as uncharacterized. The record is from RefSeq and is a predicted model, not a curated record. Lineage: Eukaryota; Metazoa; Arthropoda; Insecta; Lepidoptera; Nymphalidae. The transcript has 3 exons.